RNAcentral lists this non-coding RNA (112 nucleotides) under Pteridomonas danica. The record is from RNAcentral. Lineage: Eukaryota; Dictyochophyceae; Pedinellales.
GAGAGAGAGAAAAAAAAAAUUAAAAAGAAGAACCCAUAACAAAAACAUAUAAAAUACAAGUCACUUUUCUUUUUAGCUGAUCUUAUCUCUCUCAUCUCUCUUUAUCUCUCCU